GGGCCCGCACAAGCGGUGGAGCAUGUGGUUUAAUUCGAUGAUACGCGAGGAACCUUACCAGGGCUUAAAUGGAAAAUGACAGGGGCAGAGACGCCCCCUUCUUCGGACAUUUUUCAAGGUGCUGCAUGGUUGUCGUCAGCUCGUGCCGUGAGGUGUCAGGUUAAGUCCUAUAACGAGCGCAACCCCUACCGUUAGUUGCCAGCGAGUAAUGUCGGGGACUCUAACGGAACUGCCGGUGCAAACCGUGAGGAAGGUGGGGACGACGUCAAAUCAUCACGGCCCUUACGUCCUGGGCCACACACGUGCUACAAUGGUAGGUACAGAGGGAAGCCACCCCGCGAGGGGGAGCGGAUCUAUAAAACCUAUCUCAGUUCGGAUUGAAGGCUGCAACUCGCCUUCAUG
Molecule: ribosomal RNA, 402 nt
Filed under: uncultured bacterium
Lineage: Bacteria
Description: bacterial SSU rRNA
Rfam family: Bacterial small subunit ribosomal RNA
Source: RNAcentral